This is a long non-coding RNA of Cebus imitator (Panamanian white-faced capuchin), 493 nucleotides long. RefSeq lists it as uncharacterized. The transcript is spliced from 2 exons. NCBI's taxonomy places the organism in Eukaryota, Metazoa, Chordata, Mammalia, Primates, Cebidae. The record is from RefSeq and is a predicted model, not a curated record.
UUGCAUGAGAUAAACACUCGGCCUGAUUCCCAAUUCCACAGUCCUCUUUUCCAGGAUUUGGCGCCUCCUCUCGCCUCUAGGAUACGGCCUUGUGGGUCUAUCCUGCAAGGGAGGACACUGGCCAGGGCAGAAGGAUGGAGCCCGGCUGUUUGGUGUUCAUAUGGGGCUCAGCCCCACACUCAGUGCUCAGGCAAACAUAGUGAACGUUCCCAAAACCUGUUGGACUUUCUGUAAGAAGAGUGGCAAGCACCAACCCCACAAAGCGACACAGUACAAAAGGGCAAGGAUUCUCUGUGUGCCCAGGGAGAGCGGCGUUAUGACGGGAAGCAGAGUGGCCAUGGUGGGCACACUAAGCUGAUUUUCCAGAAAAAGCCUAGAACUAGAAAAAAGAUUUGCUAAUGCUUAAGUGUGUGGAGCCCAACUGCAGAUCUAAGAGAAUGCUGGCUAUUAUUUCUUUUCUUUUAUGAAGACAAUAAAAUCUUGAGUUUAUGUU